Molecule: ribosomal RNA, 890 nt
Filed under: uncultured organism
Description: SSU rRNA
Rfam family: Bacterial small subunit ribosomal RNA
Source: RNAcentral
AGGAUGAACGCUAGCUACAGGCUUAACACAUGCAAGUCGAGGGGCAUCAGUUUGGUUUGCUUGCAAACCAAAGCUGGCGACCGGCGCACGGGUGAGUAACACGUAUCCAACCUGCCUCAUACUCGGGGAUAGCCUUUCGAAAGAAAGAUUAAUAUCCGAUAGCAUAUAUUUCCCGCAUGGGUUUUAUAUUAAAGAAAUUCGGUUAUCGAUGGGGAUGCGUUCCAUUAGUUUGUUGGCGGGGUAACGGCCCACCAAGACUACGAUGGAUAGGGGUUCUGAGAGGAAGGUCCCCCACAUUGGAACUGAGACACGGUCCAAACUCCUACGGGAGGCAGCAGUGAGGAAUAUUGGUCAAUGGACGAGAGUCUGAACCAGCCAAGUAGCGUGAAGGAUGACUGCCCUAUGGGUUGUAAACUUCUUUUAUAUGGGAAUAAAGUAUUCCACGUGUGGGAUUUUGUAUGUACCAUAUGAAUAAGGAUCGGCUAACUCCGUGCCAGCAGCCGCGGUAAUACGGAGGAUCCGAGCGUUAUCCGGAUUUAUUGGGUUUAAAGGGAGCGUAGGUGGAUUGUUAAGUCAGUUGUGAAAGUUUGCGGCUCAACCGUAAAAUUGCAGUUGAAACUGGCAGUCUUGAGUACAGUAGAGGUGGGCGGAAUUCGUGGUGUAGCGGUGAAAUGCUUAGAUAUCACGAAGAACUCCGAUUGCGAAGGCAGCUCACUAGACUGCAACUGACACUGAUGCUCGAAAGUGUGGGUAUCAAACAGGAUUAGAUACCCUGGUAGUCCACACAGUNAACGAUGAAUACUCGCUGUUUGCGAUAUACAGUAAGCGGCCAAGCGAAAGCAUUAAGUAUUCCACCUGGGGAGUACGCCGGCAACGGUGAAACUCAAAGG